This 76-nucleotide transfer RNA is filed under the name Chitinophagaceae bacterium IBVUCB1. RNAcentral describes it as "tRNA-His". It matches the Rfam family "tRNA". Rfam says of the family: Transfer RNA (tRNA) molecules are approximately 80 nucleotides in length. Their secondary structure includes four short double-helical elements and three loops (D, anti-codon, and T loops). Lineage: Bacteria; Pseudomonadati; Bacteroidota; Chitinophagia; Chitinophagales; Chitinophagaceae. The record is from RNAcentral.
GAGGCAUUAGCUCAGCUGGUUAGAGCGUCGGAUUGUGGUUCCGAAGGCCGUGGGUUCGAACCCCAUAUGCCUCCCA